RNAcentral lists this long non-coding RNA (823 nucleotides) under Setaria italica (foxtail millet). RNAcentral's name for it is "long non-coding RNA (SITA_LNC002674)". Lineage: Eukaryota; Viridiplantae; Streptophyta; Magnoliopsida; Poales; Poaceae. The record is from RNAcentral.
AGUUACAAUCGGUUGGUUCGGUAUUGGAAUUGGACUGGAUUCGCGUGCUUAGUUGGAAUCAGUUCGAGUUCCCAGUUCUCUUCUACAUCAUCUUCAGCGACACACACACUGAACGCUGCGAUGUGUGUAUUUGUGGAUGCCCAUUCGAAUUGACAUUGUCAUAGAGUAAGACCUCCGCACAGCCGUUCCAGCAGCAACUCAUCGCUUCAGUUCAAUGGUUUAGGUGAGGAUCUUUACGAGGUUGAGCUCUGAUAUUUGACGGGCGGCGACAUCCUUCACCGUGAAAUUUCUGAGCUUUUACCCUUUUGGUCUUUCUGUAAUUUACGAUAGGGAAAGGAAAAAAAGAGUGGCGUCCCUUUUCGUUUUUUUUUACAGGAGAAGCAUGUGGAUGCCGCUGUACCUGUACAGAUGAUAGUUCACUCGUUCGCUAGAUGCAAAAUGUAUCAAGGAGAGACAUAGGUUAAGAUAGCAACCAAGAUGUAGAAAGGCUGGCAAUACCCAUUUUUUUUUCUAUAAAUACUUAAAUUAUAACCAUGAUUCAUUGUUAAGCUGGACGCUUGGAAAACUUCCAUGAAUAACUUCCAUGCGGCUAGUAAGCUCAAUAAUGUUGGUACAUUUGCUCUUCUAAAUCAUCAAUGCUCGGCUGGGAGCCUUUCUGCUGGUUGGUUUAUCAUUAGAUAUUCAGACGGAGAAUGCAAAUGUAAUUGAAAAUUGAAUUCGGUUUCCUAUUCUGGACAUGCUGUUUCGUCAUGUUAGAUAGACUAUCUCAUCUGGAUGUCCUCGACACGCAGCUCCUCCAUGGAUAUCCUGGAGAUGUUGUUUC